This 405-nucleotide ribosomal RNA is filed under the name uncultured bacterium. RNAcentral describes it as "bacterial SSU rRNA". It matches the Rfam family "Bacterial small subunit ribosomal RNA", at positions 30 to 430 of the family's 1533-position model. The record is from RNAcentral.
AUUGAACGCUGGCGGCAGGCCUAACACAUGCAAGUCGAGCGGUAGAGAGGUGCUUGCAUCUCUUGAGAGCGGCGGACGGGUGAGUAAUGCCUAGGAAUCUGCCUAGUGGUGGGGGAUAACGUUCGGAAACGGACGCUAAUACCGCAUACGUCCUACGGGAGAAAGCGGGGGAUCUUCGGACCUCGCGCCAUUAGAUGAGCCUAGGUCGGAUUAGCUAGUUGGUGAGGUAAUGGCUCACCAAGGCGACGAUCCGUAACUGGUCUGAGAGGAUGAUCAGUCACACUGGAACUGAGACACGGUCCAGACUCCUACGGGAGGCAGCAGUGGGGGAAUAUUGGACAAUAGGGCGAAAGACCUGAUCCAGCCACUGCCGCGUGUGUGAAGAAGGUACUUCGGAUUGUAAAG